This 6277-nucleotide long non-coding RNA is filed under the name Marmota monax (woodchuck). Lineage: Eukaryota; Metazoa; Chordata; Mammalia; Rodentia; Sciuridae. The record is from RNAcentral.
GCUCUAUACAAGGUGAAGCUAUAUAAAGGCCUGGAGUUAAGAUGGGGGAGGAUGGAGGAAGUGGCAGGAAAGGGCAAUGCACAAAUGCACAUAAAUAUUGCACAUUUCCACAAAACAUUUCACAAUGGACCAUGAGCGCACCAGGUAGACUCCAGAUGGGGAAAAAAAAUGUUACCCUGUGACUGGAACAAUAAUAAAGGUGCCUGCAAAAUACUAUCGAACCAGAGAAAAGAAUUUGAGAGGUUUCCAGAUGCAUAGUAUCCAUGAACUUGUGAAGAAGUGUUGAGUUUGUGCUUUAAAGGUUAGUUCAAUCUAGCUUCAGUCUUUGAUCCUCCAUUAUUCAUCUCAUUCCCUUGUCUUUUGGUAAUAGAGCCUCCCGUAACACUUCAUGCUUUGAAUAUAGCCCUUGCUGCUCUGCCACAUUGACUUAUUAUUAUUUUUUUUAAUUUUUUGGUACCAGGGAUUAAACUCAGGGGAAUCAACCACUGAGCCACAUCCCCAGCCAUCCUCUUCCUCCUCCUCUUCCUCUUUUUUUUUUUGGAGAUAGGAUCUUGUUAAGUUGCUUAGGGCCUUGUUAAGUUGCUGAGGCUGACUUCAAAUACAUGAUCCUCCUGCCUCAGCUUCCUGAGCUGUUGGGAUUACAGGUGUGUACCACCACAGCCACACACAGACUUAUUUUUUAAAUAGACAUGUUUUUUUUUUUUCUCUCCCCUUCCCUAGUUUUCCCUUCCCUGAUCUCAGGGGAAACAGGAUUACUCUUCCUCUCUAUCCUAGGCCCAGUUUUCUGUCUUUGAGCAUACCUUUAAUCAUAGGAAUAAAGUAAUUCAGACUUGGGGGAUGGCUCAAGAAGAUCUAAGAAAUCUCCCAAAUUAACAAGUGAAUUCUCUCUCUCUCUCUCUCUCUCUCUCUCUCUCUCUCUCUCUCUCUCACACACACACACACACACACACACACACACACACACACAUACACACUCACACACACACACACACACACACACACACACCCAUCAGACAUACCUGGAAUGUAGCCUCUGGGACAAGAGUCCCCUCUGUUUUUUCCCUUUUUUCUUAAAACUGUGUCCUCAUUACUGGAGUGGCAUUGGGGACAAGGACCAAUUUUUGGUACCACUCUUAUUUUACUUUAGGGAUGAGCCUCCUUCACUCACUGUGAUUCUGCUAGGUUUAAGUCCCCCACCCCAGGAUAUGUGCAAGACAAUGGCCAGCCAAUCAGAGUCUCCUCUUCCCUGAACUGUGACCCAACAGGCCAAUCAGAGACCUUUUGAGGAAGGUCUUUCUCUGAGCCAUUUCCUCCACAGCAGUGGAGAAUUGGACCAUUCUUGCAGAUAAGAGGAGUCUUCUCCUAUGUAAUGUUUUGAACAACUAAUAAUUAAAAAAAAAAAAAAAGAGGAGUCCUCUCAAGGCUGAAGUUAUCACAGAGGAAAGUGGACCUGAGAUACAGAUAGGGAGUGGAUGCAAUGAGUGAUGGAUGCAGCCAGCCUUAAGCCCUUAGGGGUUCCUGUUAUAUAAGCUGAUAUGUCAUGUUUUUAUUUAAGCAUAUUUUAAUUGAAUUUCUUUCAUAUGGAAAAAAAAGCCCUAAUAUAUUAUCUUUUUGAACUUGGGCAAGUUAUUUAUCCUCCAGCUUCAGAUUCUUCAACUAUUAAAUUGGGGAGAAUAAGAUCUCCAUUCUAAGUAGCUGUAAGAUUUAAAUGAGAUAACAUGCAUAUACAUUCAAUAUAUGAUUACUAUUAGUGAUAUAGUGAUUAUAUUUUUGGGAGACACAGACAGGAUUUAUUUGCUCUGCAAAUAUUGCAUGGUGCACACAUGCAUUCAGAGGCUUCCUGCUGUGAUGGGCUCUCCAAAGAUCUGCAGUUAUUAAUUGGAAAUCACUGUUCCAGAGGUUACCUUUUGAGUAGGGCAACCUUUAUUUUCCUGUCCCCUUCCAGUCUAUGUGUAUUCUUCCUUUAAGAGAAAGUUUGGUGUUAUAGUUUUCUCCACCAUGUUCCCAUCUAAUUGGCCUAGAUUCAGGUUACUUCCAAGCAGAUUCCCCAUCCCUUAUUUUGCUAAUAAUCAAACUUGCUUAGGAGGCAUGGUGUUUGGAAGUUGUACAUGAACGCUUAUUUCUGUUACAAAACUGGAAACACCCUUAACAAGAGGAACUAUGGCUGCUGAUUAUUCACGUGGAAUAUAAUCACAAUGACCCACACACAUUUCUUGGAGGAAAAAAUGUCAACCAGUGCAUGGCAGCUGGUUGAAUUUUUCCUUUAAUGUUCCCUUGCUACUUAUUAAUUCACUUUGUUGCUUGUGAGCUCCUAAGAGGAGAGAGAGACUGGCAGGAGCUAAAAAGUUUAAGCUGUUUUUUGUAAAAAAAAAUAGUAAAAGUAAAAUAAUGUCUAUAAGCUUGUUUUAGGCAAAUUUAGGUAAUUUCCUGGGAACCACUCUCCCAGUAUAGUGACCUAAUUCCCAAUUUGUAUUUUUUUCAAAUUCAUUGUUAAAUACCCAGUGAUAUUGCAGCCUCCCAGUUGCCCUCUCUGAAAUACCCUUACCAGCAUGUCCAUCAGAAUUGUAGAGAUGAAAAUAGUCUCCUAUGCUAUCUGAUAUGGUGGCCAUUAGCCAUGUGACUAUUGAGCCCUUGAUGUGUGGCUAGUGUGACUUAGAAGUUGACUAUAAAUUUUUAAUUUGCAUGAAUUUAUAUUUGCAAAACAUAUUAUACAUAAAUAUUACAUACUUUUUUUAAUACUAGAGAUUGAACCCAGGGCACUUUACCACUGAGCUACAUCCUGAGUCCUUUUUAUCUUUCAUUUUGAGACAGGAUCUCACUGAGUUGCUGAGGCUGGCUUUGAACUUGUGAUCUUCCUGCCUCAGCCUCCUGAGUCCCUGGGAUUAUAGGUGUGCAUCACUGCCUGGUGCAGCAUGGGCUUUAAAGGUAAAUCUCACUGUCUUGAAAUUGUCCUUAAGCCAUGUGGAUCCUUGACUAGCUUGGUGCCUUCAGACAGCCUUCCUCCUAGGAUAUUUCAGGUGAUGAGACUCUUUCCAGUUUCAAAUGGCCUCUAGAGAAAGAAAUUUCACUAACCUGUUUUGGUGUUUAGUCCUUUCUUCUGGAGGUCCCUACGGGAGGUAGCAGAUUCAAAACUGGCAUGAGUCAGAUCUGGGCACAGAUCUCAGCUUCAGAUGGCACAAUCUCUUUACAUUUUAUGGGGCAAAUACUUAGCACAUGUCUCUCUUUUGUAACAAAUCACAUGGUGAGAAUGAAGGAAUGGUUUAAAAUUCACUCAGUAAUAUUUCUGAGUCAUCCCUAAGGGCAGGGCAUGGUGCUAGGCACUGGGAGAAAGGGAGCAGGAGCAGGGUAGAGAGGAAGGAGACAUGAUUCUUUCCUUGUCAGGACUCCUGAUCUAAUUAAGAAGGUGGCUGAAUCACCACAGUGGUGGCAUUUCUUUUCAGUAGGCUGCAAUUCCAGGUGAUCACUAGAAGAGUGGGUCCAAAUUGUGUAACCUCCAAACCAGGGAUCAUCACAUACUACGAGAGAAUUACUGGCCCCAAUUUCUCUCCCCUCCUGGCAUCCAUGGUCUCCAUGUAGUGGGAAUGUCCUUUCCUGUCCUCUGGCUUUGGGCUUGCUUUGACCCUUCAAAUAAAGUACAAAAGGCCUGCUGAAGUUUUGCUGGCCCUUGUGUGUUUUUGCAUUCACCAGGAGAAGUACAUCUCUCAGGCAGCUAUGGCAUCUCCAGCCUGGACUGCAGAAUGAGCACACUUGGAACAGAGAUGCAGGGAGAGAUACCGCUCAGUGGUUAGCAUAGCAUUAGAGAAGUAUCUAUAUUAGACAGCUACAGGAUUCUGCUGCAGGGAUCCUUAUUCCAAUGUGGCGUUUCGGUAGCAAUCCUUAUUCCAAUGUGGAGUUUCGGUAGCAACCGCUAAUCCAUUCCUUUAUUAGGUUGUUGGUCCAGCUGCUACAAGUGACACCCAGCCCAAUAGUGGGUUAAGAAUGUUCUCUGAGUUGUCAUGUAAUAAAGCCAAUAAAGAAGUCUGGUGUUUCCUACACACACCAUCAUGUAGAAAAGACAGUAGAAUGAAUUGGACAUAACUUUUCUAUGCUCAUAUGUGACAUAUGACUAAUGUAACUCUACAUCAUGUACUCCACAUCAAGAAUGGGAUCCUAGGCCUGGGGUUGUGGCUCAGUGGUACAGCGCUUGCCUAGCAUGUGUGAGUCACUGGGUUUGAUUCUCAGCACCACAUAUAAAUAAAUAAAAUAAAGGUCCAUUGACAGCUAAAAAAUAUUUAAAAAAAAAAAGAAUGGGAUCCUAAUGAGAGUAAGUUGUACUGCAUGUAUGUAUGUCAAAAGACACACCACACUUCUUCUGUCAUGUAUGACUAAAAAUAAAUAAUAAAGAAUUAAAAAAAGACACUCCACUGUCAUGUAUAUCUAAAAAGAAUAAAUACAAAUAAUAAUAAAAAGUCUGGUGGUUCAUAUGUCAGAGACCCAGGCUCUAUCUAUCUUCUUGCUCCACCUUCCUCAGGGUAUGGCCCUCAUCUACAUGAAGCCCUCUUAGUAUUUCCAGUCGAGAAGCCCCUUGAGGAAAGAGAUUCUGUCCUAGUCAGCUCUUAACCCCAAUACCAGAAACGGUGUCUGACUUAUAACCCAGACUUAGCUCAAGCUACAUCUUUUUCAUGGGUUCUCCUUAGAUGAACUUUCCCUCCCUGAACCCACACCUCCUUUCUGUAUAGUUUUUGCCCAAUAGUACAUUGGCCCAUUUCAUCAUCAUCUUUUUUUUUUUUUUUUUUUUUUUUUGGUACCAGGGAUUGAACCCAGGGGUGCUUAACCACUGAGCCACAUCCCUAGCCCUUUUUAUACUUUUUAUUUUUUAAUUUAGAGACAAGAUCUUGCUGAGUUGCUUGGGGCCUUGCAAAAUUAUUGAGGCUGGCUGUGAAUUCACAAUCCUCCUGCUUCAGCCUCUCGAGCUGCUGGGGUUGCAGGUGAAUGCCACCUCGCCCAGCUCCAUCACCUUCUUCUUGUAUGUUUUAUUCCCCAGGCUGAGGAUCAAACUCAGGAGUACUCUAGAGAACUCUGUGAGGAUGGCCUUAGGCCUGAGCCUAAGCAACUCAUUUUAAAAACUCCAGUUUGAAAUCUGCAGUCUCAUCAGGCAGCCUAAUGGAGCUUCCAGGAUGGCCCUCAGGCCCCCACCUCAAUAAACUCAGAGUGAAGCCUCUGGCAGAAGAGGGAAAGGUGCCCUAUAAUUGGGAAAGGCGAAAAGAUCCACCAGAUGUUUUGUUUUUAAAUAUUUAUGUUUUAGUUGUAGUUGGACACAAUAUCUUUAUCUAUUUCCAUGUGGGGCUGAGGAUCGAACUCAUGGCCUCACAUGUGCUAGGCAAGCACUCUACUGCUAAGCCACAACUGCAGCCCCCAAACCAGAAGUUUUAAUCCCAGAGUAAAUGAUGUCACUGAGAAAUCCAGUGGCAGCUGAUAAGGAUUGAAAGGGGGGUCGAAAGCCCCCAAAUAUAGUAUAAAUAAUAGAGCAAAUGAACAGACAUUUAUCCAGCCAAUACUGAUACACAGAAGCUGGAGAGCUUGAUGAGGACCUGGACUGACAUCCCAUCACUUGUCAUUGUUUGCCUGAUCCUCUGCAGGUCUCACCGCUCUCAAACUCUACAGCCACAUCUUGACCCUGGUGAGAGUUGCAACUUCUCCCUACAACCCUCUCCUCAACCUCAACUAGCAGUCAGCUCCACCCCAGAAGCCUGCCUUGGUUCCUGAUCUGAUCACCAUGGUCUGAGUGAGUGUGCAUCUGCUGGACUUAAAAGUCUAAGGCUUGAGACUUUUGAUCUGACACCCCCACCCCCCGCGCCUGCCAGGUAGGCGGAACUGUGACCACCGACAGAAAAAGCCCAGUGGCCCGCGGAGGGGCAGAGCUGCCAACCACUCCUGCAAGGUAGUCGGGCCUGCGACCCACUGGCAGAACAGGCACAGCGGCCUGCUGAGAGGCAGAGCCGCCCCCUCCCCCCGCGCCUCCAAGGUAGACGGAACUGUGACCACCAACAGAACAGGCCAGACCUGCAACCGACAGACAGAACAGGCCCAGUGGCCUGAGGAAGGGUAGAGCCACCCCCCCCACGCCUGCAAGGUAGGCGGACCUGCGACCCACAGGCAGAACAGCCCCAGAGGCCUGCAGAGGGGCAGUGCCGCUGCCUGCGCCUGCAAAGUAGGUAGAACUGCGACCACCGACAGAACAAGCCUAGCGGCCCGCAGAGGGACAGAGCUGCCGCCCGCGCCUGCAAGGUAGGCGGAC